This 262-nucleotide ribosomal RNA is filed under the name uncultured archaeon. RNAcentral describes it as "partial 16S ribosomal RNA". It matches the Rfam family "Archaeal small subunit ribosomal RNA", at positions 717 to 982 of the family's 1478-position model. The record is from RNAcentral.
UCACUGACAUUAGAUACCCCCGUAGUCCCAGCCGUAAACUAUGCGCGUUAGGUGUACUGGUGACCACGAGUCACCGGGGUGCCGAAGGGAAACCGUGAAACGUGCCGCCUGGGAAGUACGGUCGCAAGGCUGAAACUUAAAGGAAUUGGCGGGGAGCACCACAACGGGUGGAGCCUGCGGUCUAAUUGGACUCAACGCCGGAAAUCUCACCGGAUAGGACAGACAUAUGAUAGCCGGGCUGAAGACUCUACUUGAUGAUCUG